AGAGUUUGAUCCUGGCUCAGGACGAACGCUGGCGGCGCGCCUAACACAUGCAAGUCGAACGAGCGAGAGAGAGCUUGCUUUCUCGAGCGAGUGGCGAACGGGUGAGUAACGCGUGAGGAACCUGCCUCAAAGAGGGGGACAACAGUUGGAAACGACUGCUAAUACCGCAUAAGCCCACAGGUCGGCAUCGACCAGAGGGAAAAGGAGCAAUCCGCUUUGAGAUGGCCUCGCGUCCGAUUAGCUAGUUGGUGAGGUAAUGGCCCACCAAGGCAACGAUCGGUAGCCGGACUGAGAGGUUGAACGGCCACAUUGGGACUGAGACACGGCCCAGACUCCUACGGGAGGCAGCAGUGGGGAAUAUUGCACAAUGGGGGAAACCCUGAUGCAGCGACGCCGCGUGGAGGAAGAAGGUCUUCGGAUUGUAAACUCCUGUUGUUGAGGAAGAUAAUGACGGUACUCAACAAGGAAGUGACGGCUAACUACGUGCCAGCAGCCGCGGUAAAACGUAGGUCACAAGCGUUGUCCGGAAUUACUGGGUGUAAAGGGAGCGCAGGCGGGAAGACAAGUUGGAAGUGAAAUCUAUGGGCUCAACCCAUAAACUGCUUUCAAAACUGUUUUUCUUGAGUAGUGCAGAGGUAGGCGGAAUUCCCGGUGUAGCGGUGGAAUGCGUAGAUAUCGGGAGGAACACCAGUGGCGAAGGCGGCCUACUGGGCACCAACUGACGCUGAGGCUCGAAAGUGUGGGUAGCAAACAGGAUUAGAUACCCUGGUAGUCCACACCGUAAACGAUGAUUACUAGGUGUUGGAGGAUUGACCCCUUCAGUGCCGCAGUUAACACAAUAAGUAAUCCACCUGGGGAGUACGACCGCAAGGUUGAAACUCAAAGGAAUUGACGGAAGGGCGAAUUCC
This 908-nucleotide ribosomal RNA is filed under the name uncultured bacterium. RNAcentral's name for it is "bacterial SSU rRNA". It matches the Rfam family "Bacterial small subunit ribosomal RNA", at positions 8 to 929 of the family's 1533-position model. The record is from RNAcentral.